This 168-nucleotide ribosomal RNA is filed under the name uncultured Thelephoraceae. RNAcentral's name for it is "partial 28S ribosomal RNA". It matches the Rfam family "Eukaryotic large subunit ribosomal RNA", at positions 1 to 167 of the family's 3401-position model. The record is from RNAcentral. Lineage: Eukaryota; Fungi; Basidiomycota; Agaricomycetes; Thelephorales; Thelephoraceae.
AUCUCAAAUCAGGUAGGACUACCCGCUGAACUUAAGCAUAUCAAUAAGCGGAGGAAAAGAAACUAACAAGGAUUCCCCUAGUAACUGCGAGUGAAGCGGGAAGAGCUCAAAUUUAAAAUCUGGCGUGCCUCCGGCCGUCCGAGUUGUAGUCUGGAGAAGUCUUCCGCG